UGGGGAAUAUUGCACAAUGGGCGCAAGCCUGAUGCAGCCAUGCCGCGUGUAUGAAGAAGGCCUUCGGGUUGUAAAGCACUUUCAGCGGGGAGGAAGGCGAUAAGGUUAAUAACCUUGUCGAUUGACGUUACCCGCAGAAGAAGCACCGGCUAACUCCGUGCCAGCAGCCGCGGUAAUACGGAGGGUGCAAGCGUUAAUCGGAAUUACUGGGCGUAAAGCGCACGCAGGCGGUUGAUUGAGUCAGAUGUGAAAUCCCCGGGCUUAACCCGGGAAUUGCAUCUGAUACUGGUCAGCUAGAGUCUUGUAGAGGGGGGUAGAAUUCCAUGUGUAGCGGUGAAAUGCGUAGAGAUGUGGAGGAAUACCGGUGGCGAAGGCGGCCCCCUGGACAAAGACUGACGCUCAGGUGCGAAAGCGUGGGGAGCAAACAGG
RNAcentral lists this ribosomal RNA (429 nucleotides) under Chloroflexota bacterium. RNAcentral describes it as "Chloroflexi bacterium partial 16S ribosomal RNA". It matches the Rfam family "Bacterial small subunit ribosomal RNA", at positions 355 to 776 of the family's 1533-position model. Lineage: Bacteria; Bacillati; Chloroflexota. The record is from RNAcentral.